GGAAUAUAAGAACUGUCUCUUAACUUUUAACUAAAAAAAAUUAAGAACCAGCUCUUAAAUAAGAGUUUUAAGAGCCGGUUCUUAACUUUUUUAGUUAAAAGUUAAGAGACGGGUUCUUAUAUUCU
This is a non-coding RNA of Brassica napus (rape), 125 nucleotides long. NCBI's taxonomy places the organism in Eukaryota, Viridiplantae, Streptophyta, Magnoliopsida, Brassicales, Brassicaceae. The record is from Rfam.